UACGUAGGGGGCAAGCGUUGUCCGGAUUUAUUGGGCGUAAAGAGCGUGUAGGCGGCUUUACAGGUCCGUUGUGAAAACUCGAGGCUCAACCUCGAGACGCCGGUGGAAACCGUAAAGCUAGAGUCCGGAAGAGGAGAGUGGAAUUCCUGGUGUAGCGGUGAAAUGCGCAGAUAUCAGGAAGAACACCCGUGGCGAAAGCGGCUCUCUGGGACGGUACUGACGCUGAGACGCGAAAGCGUGGGGAGCGAACAGG
Molecule: ribosomal RNA, 253 nt
Filed under: uncultured bacterium
Lineage: Bacteria
Description: partial 16S ribosomal RNA
Rfam family: Bacterial small subunit ribosomal RNA
Source: RNAcentral